UACGUAGGCAGCAAGUGUUGUUCGGAGUUACUGGGCGUAAAGGGUGUGUAGGCGGUUGCUUAAGUUUGGUGUGAAAUCUCCCGGCUCAACCGGGAGGGUGCGCCGAAUACUGAGUGACUCGAGUGCGGGAGAGGAAAGUGGAAUUCCUGGUGUAGCGGUGAAAUGCGUAGAUAUCAGGAGGAACACCGGUGGUGUAGACGGCUUUCUGGACCGUAACUGACGCUGAAACACGAAAGCGUGGGUAGCAAACAGG
RNAcentral lists this ribosomal RNA (253 nucleotides) under uncultured bacterium. RNAcentral's name for it is "partial 16S ribosomal RNA". It matches the Rfam family "Bacterial small subunit ribosomal RNA", at positions 524 to 776 of the family's 1533-position model. The record is from RNAcentral.